This is a long non-coding RNA of Macaca mulatta (Rhesus monkey), 1281 nucleotides long. RefSeq lists it as uncharacterized. The record is from RefSeq and is a predicted model, not a curated record. Lineage: Eukaryota; Metazoa; Chordata; Mammalia; Primates; Cercopithecidae.
UGUUGCUAUGAGACUUCCUGGGCCACAACAGAUGGCCACAAGAACAGUUCUCAGGCCUGAGCUCCGAGCUCUGAGGCCUCCACUCAGGCAUACCAUUAACAUUCCUGAAAUACCUUCGGAGGCAAUGCAGGCCAGCCACCUUCAGACGGCUCACCCGCAGCUGGCCUCCCUGGUCAAGGGGCCAGGGUUGAAAUUUGUUAUAAAUGAAAUGAUCGGGUCUUUCCAGGAAAAAGCCAGAGGUGAGAGGAUGCUGUUCUCAAUUUAGGCUUCAGGAAAACUUUACCAGCAACCCACUGGAGUUUUGAGUUGUUCAGAUGUGGAAACUGAGGCUUCGAGAAAUUAAGUAACUUGUUGAAGAUUUUACAGCCAGCAAGCAGCAGAUCUGGAAUGCACACCCAAGCAAUCUGACUGCAGAGCCCACGCUUUGAACCACCACCCUCUGAGAUAAAGGCUUUGAAUUCACCAGCUUUGUGAUUGCAGGCAAAUUAUUCAGCUUUUCCAAGCGUCAGUUUUCUAUCCUCUGAAAUGGGUACCUAUCUGAUGUGAGGACUGAAGGUGAUGCUAUGAAAAAGCACUUAGCAUAGUGCUUGGUCUACAGGAAGAACUCCAGUGUUACCCAGUCGUGGUGGUAUGGGCUGGAUGAUCGCUCUUCCUACCUUCAUCAUGACCUGAGGUUCUACUAGAAGAAGUAAUUCAAAUCUUAUAUCACCAUCUAUUAGAAGGCCUACCAGAAGCCACCAUGAUUAUUCUUCAUAGCAGGAAACAGAGCAGCCCUUUUCAGAGGCCAAUCUAUCACCACAGUCAUGUUGAAACACAUCAGGAGUGUGGAUUCUGCCAUUAGUACUCAACAGAUCAAUGCCCAGUGUUCCCAAACUAGGCUCCUGGGUUCCAAUGCCAAGGUGAGUUCAAAACCUUCAGCACUCUCUGGAAACAAGGAAUGGCCCCGUGGUUCUGAACCUGUCUACCCAUCUGUUUGACACAUCACCCCAUGUUUGAGAUGACUGCUUAAUUUACUCAAAUCUGGAUCCACAAGGAAUGAGCCUAUGCCUAGAGUUGGCCAAUAAUAAUAGAAAUAAUAGCAGCAACAUCUCUUUUUACCUCAGAGUAGUUCAUCUAAUCUUUCCAAUCACUUUGUAAAGUAUGUUGGAUUGCCCAAAUAUGAUUGCCAAAAAUUGAAUAUAUUCAAAAUGUACAAUGUGAUGAUUUGAUAUUUGUAUACACUGCAUCAUGAUUACCACAAUAAAAAAUCAAAUUAAUCAACACACAAUUACCUGUGUGGGG